This is a long non-coding RNA of Hippocampus zosterae (dwarf seahorse), 491 nucleotides long. RefSeq lists it as uncharacterized. NCBI's taxonomy places the organism in Eukaryota, Metazoa, Chordata, Actinopteri, Syngnathiformes, Syngnathidae. The transcript is spliced from 3 exons. The record is from RefSeq and is a predicted model, not a curated record.
GGGGAUUCGAACAUCCGCGGUCACCUUGCAACAAACACAACUACGGUGAAAGUUUACCCGGAACAACGAAUAUUCUGCCAGACAUUUCGGACUUGACGAGGUGAAACACAAAUCUUCCUCAUUUUGUCCUCUUGCACAGGACUGUUUUAAGGAAGGCCAAGCUAACUCGCUCGUUGUCACCGCGUUGAGAAGCUAAAGCCAAGACGAACUCGACGAUCGCCCUGUUGCAUGACGGGUGACGUCACGACGAGGUGCGUUCAAGUGCACAGCCAUGAGAAAGGGACACCUCAAAGAUAGCUGACUUGAAGAUUGUUGAUUCAUGUAGCGCUCUCGCAACAGCUUUAUCCGUAACAGGAGUAGAACGUGAGCACGCUCUGGUGGUUUCCUCGCACCAGCAGAAGAGGAGGAAGUUCCUUGGACAGCGUUUCUAGCCAGCACAUGUAGAGGGCGCUAGAAACCACGCCCUUCCUUGCCAGCGGCAUCGUCCUGAU